This 253-nucleotide ribosomal RNA is filed under the name uncultured bacterium. RNAcentral's name for it is "partial 16S ribosomal RNA". It matches the Rfam family "Bacterial small subunit ribosomal RNA", at positions 524 to 776 of the family's 1533-position model. The record is from RNAcentral.
UACAGAGGGGGCAAGCGUUGUUCGGAAUUACUGGGCGUAAAGGGCGCGUAGGCGGCCUGUUAAGUCGGACGUGAAAUCCCUCGGCUCAACCGGGGAACUGCGUCCGAUACUGGCGGGCUUGAAUUCGGGAGAGGGAUGUGGAAUUCCUGGUGUAGCGGUGAAAUGCGCAGAUAUCAGGAAGAACACCAAUGGCGAAAGCAGCUUUCUGGGACGGUACUGACGCUGAGACGCGAAAGCGUGGGGAGCGAACAGG